Molecule: ribosomal RNA, 378 nt
Filed under: uncultured organism
Description: bacterial SSU rRNA
Rfam family: Bacterial small subunit ribosomal RNA
Source: RNAcentral
CAGAGACCUCAAGCGUUAUCCGGAAUCAUUGGGCGUAAAGCGUGCCGAUAGGUGGUUGAAAUAGUCUUGGGUAAAAGCCAGAAGCUCAACUUCUGAGUUUGCUUAAGAUACUUUUCGACUAGAGGGGCAAAGAGGUGCUUGGAACGAAUGGUGUAGUAGUGAAAUGCGUUGAUAUCAUUCGGAACACCGAAAGCGAAGGCAGAGCACUGGGUGCCACCUGACACUGCUAGGACGAAAGCGUGGGGAGCGAAUGGGAUUAGAUACCCCAGUAGUCCACGCUGUAAACGAUGAAUACUAGGCAUGCGCGAGUAUAGACCCUCGUGCGAGCCGUAGCUAACGCGUUAAGUAUUCCGCCUGGGGAGUACGGUCGCAAGACUA